UACAGAGGGUGCAAGCGUUGUUCGGAAUUAUUGGGCGUAAAGCGCGUGUAGGCGGCUUUGCAAGUCGGGUGUGAAAGCCCUCAGCUCAACUGAGGAAGUGCGCCCGAAACUGCAGAGCUUGAGUGCCGGAGAGGGUGGCGGAAUUCCCCAAGUAGAGGUGAAAUUCGUAGAUAUCGGGUGGAACACCUGUGGCGAAGGCGGCCAUCUGGACGUUCACUGACACUGAGACGCGAAAGCGUGGGUAGCAAACAGG
Molecule: ribosomal RNA, 253 nt
Filed under: uncultured bacterium
Lineage: Bacteria
Description: partial 16S ribosomal RNA
Rfam family: Bacterial small subunit ribosomal RNA
Source: RNAcentral